RNAcentral lists this long non-coding RNA (4082 nucleotides) under Homo sapiens (human). RNAcentral's name for it is "non-protein coding lnc-GRIP2-1:3". The record is from RNAcentral. Lineage: Eukaryota; Metazoa; Chordata; Mammalia; Primates; Hominidae.
ACAUACACGCAAACACGCACGCGCGCAUGGGCUCGGACACACAAAGAACCCGGGCUCGCCGAGCGCGCGCGCACACCCUCAUGCCGCGCGGCGAACGUUCGUUGCCAGGUGCGGCAGCCCGCCCUGGGCGCCUCCUGCCUGCGGAAGAAGAGCAGGACAGACCCGACCCGACCCGCCUAGUCCUUUCCUUCACAGCAGCCUCCAAACUCCACCGCUCGCCUCUUCCGCCAGGCUCCUAGGAUGAGGCCCAGGGCUCCUGGAGCAGCCAGGUGCAAACCAGACCGGGCUCGCACUCCACUGCGUUGCCCUGGGCGAUCGUCCACGUUCUGGGAGACUCGGUAUGCCCCGGGAGGGUGGCCUGAGCUUGUGGUGUGAAGCCAGGUACAGAGCUCCAGAAUCCUGGCCUUGCCAUGGCUGUGUGACCCUGGGCAAGUGACUCAAUUUCUCUGCCUCAGUGUCCUCAUCUAUAAAAUGGAAAGGAAAAUAGUAGCGCUUGUCUCCUCCGGCUGUUAUGAAGAUCCAAGGUUAACAGCGUAGAGAACUCGGAACGCACCCGGCAUCUAGGAAGUGCCAAGCCAGUGUCAGCUAAUGUGACUAUUUUUAAAUGGAGAUGGGGAGUGUGCCAUUAUUCUUGUCCUUAUUUGAAUGAACGGGCCCUCAGGGACCAUUUUCCACUGCCCCGCCCUGGCAGCAUGAGAGGGAAACGCUGUGAGAACCCCGAACCCCAGCCUUCUCCUGUCCCUCUCUCUCUCUCUCUCUCUCUGCACCUGGGAGGCGGGGAGGAGAGAGCCGAUCCUUCCACCAUUUACACGGAGAAUGAAAGAAGAAAUACCGGCCAGGCGCGGUGGCUCAUGCCUGUAAUCCCAGCACUUUGGGAGGCCGAGGGGGCAGAUCACCUGAGGUCAGGAGUUCGAGACCAGCCUGGCCAACAUGGCGAAACUCCGUCUCUACUAAAAGUACAAAAAUUAGCCUGGCGUGGUGCCGGGUGCCUAUAAUCCCAGCUACUCAGGAGGCUGAGGCAGGAGAAUCCCUUGAACCCGGGAGGCGGAGGUUGCAGUGAGCCGAGAUCACGCCACUGCACUCCAGCCUGGGUGACAAGAAUGAGUCUCAAAAAAACAAAAAAGAAGAAGAAGAAGAAAUACCACACAGGUCCGACCAAGAGCUGCCCCCACUCAGGCCAGGAUCCCUGCCUGGAAGGGCUCUGCAGCCACUCUCCCUGUACAGCCCCAGGAUGCUAAGGAGCAUCCCGAAGUGACACUGGCUCUCCCUGGAGGCCCCUGCCAUCGGACUCCAACCUGACCUUCCAGUGGGUGCUCCUCAUACUGGCUCCAGCCAAGACAGACGAGGACCACUGGGCACAUGCCCUUCCUUGCCUUCCUGUCACCCUUCCCACCCUUCUCUGCGGGCCCCGGGUGGCCCCUUCCUCCAGGAAGCACCUGGGGAUCAGCAGUGCCUCUAGGGUCCCAGUGGCCCACGUGACAUCUGCUUCUGGCCACCUGAGCACUCUCCUUUGAGUUCAGGGUCACUGUACCCUUUUAUAGGUGAGCAAACGAAAGCUGAGGAAGAGGAGUGACUGGGUCUCCCACAUCCCUCUGCUUCAGCUAUGAGGUUCCCUCAUGAACUGCAGGAAUAGACGUCAAGCAAAAACUCCUCAGACGCCCUGUGCAUGUGUGGUCGCACAGGGCACAAAGACUGAAGCAAAGGGGCAGGUCCUAGCGUGGGGAGGGGACUCCAGGAUUGAAGUUUGAACCAAAAGGAGGCUUUGACUAAGCCACGAGCAGUGAAGCCGGCAGGAGAGGAAGCAAGUUCUAGCAGAGGUAGGCCAGCGGAGCCUCAUGCAGGUAGUGCCAGCGCAAGACACACGAGUGAACCAUCUAUCCAGUUACCAGCUCCAUGAGGGAUGGGAUCUGUUCUUUUGCCUCCAUCAACUCCUGGAGUCUAUCAUAGGCCUGACACACAAAAUUCGCCGGGUAUGGUGGUGCAUGCCUAUGGUCCCAGCUACUCAGGAGGCUGAGGCAGGAGGAUCACUUGAGCCCGGGAGGUGAAGGCUGCGGUAAGCUAUGACUACACCACUGCACUCCAGCCUAGGUGCGAGAGCAAGACCCUGUCUCCAAACAACAACAACAACAACAAAAUCUGAAUGCCUGGUUUAUCUUGAAAUAUGGCAAAAUGGGGCCACCCAGGCCCAUUAACCCCCUGUCUACAAUGUCCUGGAGCUGAGGGGCAUUAGCCACCCUCUCACAUGGGCUCCCCAGGGUGCCACAGCUCCCUCCUAGCUAGUUUGCUCUUUUCUGUCACCUACCGGCCCUUGCAGGGAGCUGAAUUUGAGACCCAUGAUGCACUUUGUGCACCCUGCCCCCUCAAAGAUAACUGUGAGUACCAAGGGAAAUGGAAAGCUUUGGCAACAAGAAGGGAGCUUCAAGGAAAGCCAGGCCGAGGUUCCCCUCAGAACCAUAGACUAGCCUGAAAUUCCACUGGGACUAAUUCUUCUCAUUUCAAGAAUGAAAAUCGAUUGCUGGACAGAGCUCCCGGAGGGCCAAUUUUCAGGCUGUAGUCUACAGCCGUCCACGUAGAGGCAGUGAACGAAAUUUUUCAAAGCCUACUUUAUGAUUACUUUCUUUAGCAGCUCUCAACAGUAAAAUAAAAUUGAUCUAGGACUUUGAACAAAACUUCUCGCCCCUUUCUAGGGAAGAGUUUGUCUCGUCUAUCAGGCCACCAACAAGAGUUGUUGCAAUGCCUGUGGGAGGUGCAGCCCACGCUGGGCCACCUGGCCAGCUCAGGGAUCCUGCUGGAGAUCGAGGAUUGUCUGGUCGGCCUCUUACAACUCUCAGAACAUCAUCCCUGGGAGCAGCCCUGAAGAGACCAAGGAAUGGAAAAACAGAUGGAAGGACUGCAACUCACAGGUGAAAAGGAACCGGCUACGAGAGGCUCCAAACCAAGGGAGCAGCGGAGUUUGUCUCCAAAACACCGAGCCCAGUGAGAGAAGCCAGAGCCACAGACCAGAUGCCCUGCAGCCUCAGCUCCAGUGUCUCAUCCCCAGAGACCUUCCCAGACCACCAUGUCUCAGACAGCCCCGGCUGCCUCCUGCCUGCCCUGCACCAGCCCUGAGCCAUCGCCUCAUUUUAUUCUCAUUCUAACUUGGAUAAUGGGAUCUGCCUCUUACCAACUGUGACCUUAGGCACAGGAUCAGCCCCAAAUUGAGCCUCAUUUUGUCCAUCUGUAAAAUGAGGAUGGCACUAGAGCCCCGUCUAGGGUGAAUGUGAAGGUCAGAGCCUGCACAAGCUCAUAGCCACCAUGCAUGACUUGGGACUUCUGAAUGGGACCAAGAAAUAUCUAACAUGCGAUUUCCUGGAAAGCACAUAGGAGUUUGGCCCAGAUCCAGACUUGGCAGUUGCUCAAUCAAGAAGAAGCUGCCAGGCACAGUGGCUUGUGCCUGUAACCCCAGAACUUUGAGAGGCUGAGCGGGGUGGAUCACCCAAAGUCAGGAGUUCAAGACCAGCCUGGCCAACAUGGUGAAAUGCCGUCUCUACUAAAAAUACAAAAAUUCGCUGGGUGUGGUGGUGGGUGCUUGUAAUCCUAGCUACUCAGGAGGCUGAGACAGGAGAAUCCCUUGAACCCAGAGGCAGAGGUUACAGUGAGCCGAGAUCGUGCCACUGCCCUCCAGCCUGGGCAACAAAGAGUGAAACUCUUGUCUAAAAAAAAAAAGAAGAAGAAGAAGGAGAAGGAGAAGGAGCGGGAGAAGGAGAAGAAGAAGAAGAAGAAGAAGCCUCAGUGAAGUGCUCCAGCAUCUUCACCCCCUUGGUCACUUGCUCAUCUCCUUGAUGAACAAAAGCGGCCCCAGAUCAGAGCCAUCGAGCACCUGCAGCCAGCAAGGUUGGCUGGUUUUCAUUGUGUGCAUUUUUAAGGCGUCUUCUAUUUAUAGAAAGGAUUGUGGUCUUGCAUUUGUAGCAGCGAUGAAAGCUUUACUUUUUGGCAAAAUGUGUGCAAGUUGUUUAGAAGUGAGUCUGUUUGAAAAAAAAAAUUAAAUGAAUAAUGAUUUAGGAGGUGAGUUUGUUUCCUAGGGCUGCUGUGAUGAAGUGCCA